RNAcentral lists this ribosomal RNA (232 nucleotides) under uncultured bacterium. RNAcentral describes it as "partial 16S ribosomal RNA". It matches the Rfam family "Bacterial small subunit ribosomal RNA", at positions 15 to 237 of the family's 1533-position model. The record is from RNAcentral.
GAUCAUAGGCUCAGGAUGAACGCUAGCUACAGGCUUAACACAUGCAAGUCGAGGGGCAGCAUGGUCUUAGCUUGCUAAGGCCGAUGGCGACCGGCGCACGGGUGAGUAACGCGUAUCCAACCUGCCUUACACUCUUGGACAGCCUUCUGAAAGGGAGAUUAAUACAAGAUGUUAUCAUGAGUAAGCAUUUUCGCAUGAUUAAAGGUUUACCGGUGUAAGAUGGGGAUGCGUU